GCCAACAACAUGUCACUUCCUCUUCCUGUUGAUGACAUCAUGAAGCCCUGGGUCCUGCAGAUGGGCUUCCCUGUGGUUACCAUAGAUACCAGCACAGGAAACGUGUCACAGAUGUACUUCCUGCUGGAUCCAGAGUCCAACGUCACAGUCCAGUCUCCAUACAAGUACGAGUGGCUGAUUCCUGUCAGAUGGAUGAAGUCAGGUGACGUUAAGAGCGACAUCUGGUGGCUGCUGAA
Cynoglossus semilaevis (tongue sole) is the source of this 236-nucleotide long non-coding RNA. RefSeq lists it as uncharacterized. Lineage: Eukaryota; Metazoa; Chordata; Actinopteri; Pleuronectiformes; Cynoglossidae. The transcript is spliced from 2 exons. The record is from RefSeq and is a predicted model, not a curated record.